Molecule: long non-coding RNA, 321 nt
Filed under: Homo sapiens (human)
Lineage: Eukaryota; Metazoa; Chordata; Mammalia; Primates; Hominidae
Description: non-protein coding LINC00927:34
Source: RNAcentral
GCGGAGGGUGCCCGACCGCGGGAAUUCCUAAGGCCACGCGCACCUCCAAGGCCACCGCCGCACACAGCUUCGGAGUGCACAGUGCACACGCCCAGGCACAGGCAGCCGGCCCGAGAAAUUGUGAAUGUCUUGGCUUUGAGUUUAUCUGCGUAUCCUGGCGAAGUUUGGAUGCAGAGAACUUGGAGCUGUUGUUUUCUACCAGACACUAGGAUCCCUGAGAGAGGUGUCAUUCUUUCGCGCUGCACACACCUUCCUCCACGUGGUGAAGAUACAUCGCUCCUGACAGGUAGGAUGGAAACUAUCUUUGGCUCCCAUGAUCAG